This 347-nucleotide ribosomal RNA is filed under the name uncultured bacterium. Its description in RNAcentral is "bacterial SSU rRNA". It matches the Rfam family "Bacterial small subunit ribosomal RNA", at positions 8 to 349 of the family's 1533-position model. The record is from RNAcentral.
AGAGUUUGAUCAUGGCUCAGGACGAACGCUGGCGGCGCGCCUAACACAUGCAAGUCGAACGAGCGAGAGAGAGCUUGCUUUCUCAAGCGAGUGGCGAACGGGUGAGUAACGCGUGAGGAACCUGCCUCAAAGAGGGGGACAACAGUUGGAAACGACUGCUAAUACCGCAUAAGCCCACGACCCGGCAUCGGGUAGAGGGAAAAGGAGCAAUCCGCUUUGAGAUGGCCUCGCGUCCGAUUAGCUAGUUGGUGAGGUAAUGGCCCACCAAGGCGACGAUCGGUAGCCGGACUGAGAGGUUGAACGGCCACGAUUGGGACUGAGACACGGCCCAGACUCCUACGGGAGCA